This 728-nucleotide long non-coding RNA is filed under the name Micromonas commoda. RNAcentral's name for it is "long non-coding RNA (MCOM_LNC000246)". Lineage: Eukaryota; Viridiplantae; Chlorophyta; Mamiellophyceae; Mamiellales; Mamiellaceae. The record is from RNAcentral.
CGCUCUCCCGAUACCCCUCACCGACGCACACGUGAAACCCAAGAUGGCCGAUUUGGACCUCAAGGGCGCGCCGUGGACCGACGCCGAAGACGUCCAGCUCUCUGCUCUUCAGGUACGAACCCUUCCGCCCCGCAAUCGAGCAAUCGCAAAGCGUUUUCUGACAAGUGUUGCUUUUCUCCACCAUCCUUGCGCGCAGGCCAAGCACGGCAACCGCUGGGCCGCCGUCGCGGCCGAGAUGCCCGGCCGCACCGGCCAGCAGUGCGCACAAAGGUGGCGCCACAAGGUUAACCCCAACAUCCGCAAGGAUAAGUGGACAGAAGCCGAGGACCGCCAGGUACGAGCCCCCCAAUCGCUCGCGGUUGACCGUCAUCACUCGAUCGUCUCGCGGCACACGCCCCGCGAGAAAAAUUAACGCCGCGGCCUCGUGCGGUUUUUCCAUUGCUGACCGACGCGCCCCCCUCCCCCCGACUUCAAACAGCUCCAAGCGCUGGUGGACACCUACGGCCUUCGCUGGGCCGACAUCUCCCGCCGCAUGGAGGGGCGGACGGACCAGCAGUGCAUGGGCCGCUGGAGGCGCCACCUCGACCCCAGCGUCUCUCGCAAGCAGUGGUCCACCAAGGAGGACCGCAAGCUCGCCGAGCUCAGGGUCCGGCACGGCGCCAACUGGAGCGCCAUCGCCAAGACGAUGAAGAACCGCACCGCGCAGCAGUGCCGCGCGAGAUGGUUCC